Molecule: long non-coding RNA, 3371 nt
Filed under: Sus scrofa (pig)
Lineage: Eukaryota; Metazoa; Chordata; Mammalia; Artiodactyla; Suidae
Description: lncRNA (ENSSSCG00000060660.1)
Source: RNAcentral
CCAGGCCAGGGGUCGAAUCUGAGUUACAACUGCUGGCCUACACCACAGCCACAGCAAUGCCAGAUCUGAGCCACAUCUGUGACCUACACCACAGCUCAUAGCAAUGCUGGAUCCCUGACCCACUGAGUGAGGGCAGGGAUCAAACCUGCAUCUCAUGGAUACUAGUCGGAUUCAUUUCUGCUGCACCACAAUGGGAACUCCCAGAAAUCACUCCUGAAAAGCUGAAUCAUUGAACUACAGUGAAAGUUCCUCACCUAAGACAUCUGGGGGGAACAAGUCUUACUUUUGCUGAUCUACACACAUCAGGAAACAGGGCAUGUCUCCUAAAAUCCCACUCUUCCCAGAUACGCAUUCACAUCCAAACUGCUUCUGGGCACUCUCUCCAAAGAGCUGCCAUGAAAAGCCUAAAGAUUUAUAGCACACCUACACAUUAUCUAAACAUACCCCCCCCAUGCACACAGAUAGAUGCACACAUAUAAAAAUACUCCCUGUGAUGCCCUGUCACCCCCAGAGCCACCUCCCACUCUGUUCCCUAUUAGCCACUGCUAUGUGGAUUCUUGUAGUCAAAAAGGAGCAGCAGGAAGGAGCAGGCUCCGCCUGUCACCCUGAGACUUGAGAACAGAGCUGGAGGGUUCUGUGGGCAAGAUGAGGGCUUUACUGGCCUCUGACCUCACCCUGUCUGCCUGAUGGGGUAAGAGCAGGAUGCUGAAGAACAAGGGGCUUCUAUGGCGGCCAGACGUGGUUUCUCAGGCAGUAGCUGUGUUGUAACGGGUCCAAUCUGACUAUCAUUUGGUUGCUGGGAUGGGAGGAAGAUCAGUCCUCUGGCAAGUCUGUACGUGACUGCACUCGCGGUGGGGGGGACGUAGGCCUGUGCCGAUGACAGGUGUGGAUGGAGGGAGCGUGAGGAGCAGGCCUGCAGCUGGGUGCGGGCUCGUGGGAGUGCUGCUGGCCUCAGUCCCCCUAAGCAGCCCAGGGCGAAGGGGCACAGGGGCCCAUCUCUGGUCAUCCUUGACAGAGAAGUGACCUCAAUUCUCAAAACUGGCCAAGGUUCAAACAGGAAGACCGCUUGUCUCGGUGCAAAGGGGAAUCCUGUACCCUGAUGCACCCUGGAGGCUCCUGCGGUCGGAAAGGAAAGCACAAAAGAGCAGAGUUGGGGCCACGAGCAGGAGAAGGAGGCUUGCCGGGGACAGGGCUCACCCCGACUGAGAGGGAAGAUGAAACCCCGCAUCUACGUCAGCGCCAGAUGGCCUGAGCCCCAGACUCUGGGCUCAUCGUCACUCAUGGGGCCGUCACCUUGGGUCCAGGGAGCUUGCUUUCAGAAGCAGCCACGGUGGCGGCAAAAUGAUGCAAAGAUGACCCUCAUUUCCUGGAGAGGAGCCUGCUGUUGUCUCUCUGAGGCUUAGCCACUGGGAGGCCGUGGAAACAAUCCCAUCACCCUAGCAACCAGGCCCCGCCAGGGCGCUCCGUGCCGGUGGCAACCUGCUCCCAGACUUAAGACAGGAGCUUCAGUUUGCACCUGCUCCUGCACAUCAGGUGGGCUGGCUGCCUGUGACGCACUUGCUGAGACACAGGUGAACGUCAGGGGCCCAGGCUUCCAGGGACGGCAACGUACGGGAAGGGCAACUGGGUUCAUGGUAACUGGGGCUCGGCUGGAAGGGUCCCCUGGAGCUGGAGUGGGGCUCCUGCCUUGAUCAAGCACCCUAGUUUGGAAGGAAGAAAUGAGAAACGAGAACUACUUCCUGUUCGGCUACCCUCACCAGCCACUUCCCCUCGCCCUCGGCCAGGGCAAUGCCAGGGUCUGCUCGGGAAAUUUCUAACUUCUUGUGUUCCCUCGGCUGGGACCCUACUGACAAUACAGAUGAGCAUCCAGAUGGCUCUGGGCGAGGGCCCAGGAGAGAGCAAGCCUGCGGACUCUCGGGGCUGACUGCAGGGUGUGGUUUUAUUGCUGGGAGAUGCCUGGUUUCAGAGAACAGUCUGUCCGUCCCACCCCAGUGAUGCUGGAGUUCCUCCAGGCCUUCGGAGGAAGCUUCCUUUCCCCUGCCUCGCCCCCAGCACCGGUCUCACCAACUGAAGCGUCAGGAUUAUUCUCAGCAGUCAGCCUACGACAUUUCUGUCACUUCUUUUCCAUAAACCAAGGCCUGGGGUGCAGCAGAGAGCAGUGCUGAUCUGUCUCAGGGGGUCUGUGUUUUAGGCCACAUUCCCUCCCUCAUUAUGUUGGAGUUCCUGUUGUGGCUCAGCAGUAACAAGGCCGACAAGUACCCAUGAGGAUGUGAGUUCGGCCCCUGGCCUCGCUCAGUGGGUUAAGGAUCUGGCGUUGCCCUGAGCUGUGGCGUAGGUUGCAGAUCCUGUGUUGCGGUGGCUGUAGUGUAGGCCGGUGGCUAUAGCUCUGAUUAGACCCCUAGCCUGGGGACUUCGAUAUGCUGUAGGUGUGGCCCUAAAAAGCCCCAAAAUAAAUAAAUAAAUAAAAAUAAAACCCCGGGUUGUGUGAUUCCCCUUCCCUAGGGAGGACUGGAAAAGGGGGAUAUACUCAGCCUUCACAAAGGGCCUCCUGCAGGCACCCUGGCCAUCUCAGUUCCUGUUCCCUUCCUCGGGAUAAGCACUAUGCGUCUGGGCUCUUGGGUCCCCAGCCCAUUUUCCUGAGUCAUGAUUCUAAUGUCUUCCUUUUAAGCAGAGCAGUGAAUUUAGAAGAUCUUCAAUGUCCUUUUUGUUAACUCUUUGGUUCCAGACCUAGAGGCUGGGUUUGAAGCCCUUUUCCUGUCCUAGAAGGGGCAUCAAAGUGCAAAGGUGCAAAGGUUUUGUCACCACAGGGCCCUGAGCUCCAUGACACCAACUCUCUGAAUUUCAGGGUACCCACCUUUAAAAUGGAGACGGUAGUACAAUAUCUGAUAGAGUGGCAGCGAGGACCAAAAGAGGUAAAUGAAAGUAGGGGCCUCCAGAGGGAAAGGUUCACCGCCCCCCUCCCACCCCAGGCUACAAAGAGUGGGUAAGAGACAGCCGGACAAGGGCCCCGGAGGAAGGGGCCUCCAUUCUCAGAGCUGCGCCUUCUAGAUGAUUCAGUCGGCACUGGUCCCAACCCCCUGACGAUGAACUGAAAGGUCUUCUUUGUCUGGGCGCCUCCCGGGCCAGCCCCACGCUAGACCCCGGAGCCCCCAUGGAUGAAACUCUUGCUCAAGAAAUCCCACCCAGGCUCAGUGGUUAAUGAAUCUGAAUAAGAACCAUGACGUUGCGGGUUCGAUCCCUGGCCUUGCUCAGUGGGUUAAGGAUCCGGCGUUGCCGUGAGCUGUGGUGUAGGUCGCAGACACGGCUCGGAUUUUGAGUUGCUGUGGCUCUGGCGUAGGCUGGCAGCAAUAGCUCCGAUUCGACCCCUAGCC